Molecule: non-coding RNA, 412 nt
Organism: Paramuricea clavata
Lineage: Eukaryota; Metazoa; Cnidaria; Anthozoa; Malacalcyonacea; Plexauridae
Source: the annotation of a GenBank genome assembly
UGGAAUUUUUGAUCGACAAAUAUAAAUACACCAGAAUGUUGUUAUAAAAUAGACGAAUUUUAAUACAUUUUGGUUGGUUUGAGAUGCGGAAUACGAAACAAACGUGUCAAUGCACCGCAUACUUACGCGCCGAAUACCGCUUCACUUUAGGAAGCAUGUGCAUUGAGACAUGGAAUGAUAUCAACUGACGCUUGUUGAUUUCGUGUUUAGCGGCUUUAGCCUAUCGAUCUUGUUGUUAUUCCCCCAGCGGCGGUUUCAUUUAAUGGUAAUAACUUCGUCGGGACUUGAGCCAACGUAUUCCUUUGUCCACCAGAAGAGUAAAAGCGCUUGUCCGGUAGAGUUCUAUUUGAAUAAACUGCGUCUCACUGAAUUAUCAUACUGAGUUACUGACCAAAUUUUCUUUAAUAUAAAC